AACAAGGCGUACCUGCGGACCUGCGGAAGGAUCAUUACCGAGUUAGGGUCUUAUAGGCCCGACCUCCAACCCUUUGUUUACUAUACCAUGUUGCUUUGGUAGGCCCGCCCUUUGGGGCCGCUGGGGGACUUUCAUAUUCCCUAGUCAGUGCCUGCCAGUAGCCUUCUUAAAUCCUUUUAUACUUAUGUCGUCUGAGUAUAACAAAUAAAUUGUUAAAACUUUCAACAAUGGAUCUCAGAU
RNAcentral lists this unclassified non-coding RNA (240 nucleotides) under soil metagenome. RNAcentral describes it as "partial contains 5.8S ribosomal RNA, internal transcribed spacer 2, and large subunit ribosomal RNA". The record is from RNAcentral.